Long non-coding RNA from Sardina pilchardus (European sardine), 555 nucleotides. RefSeq lists it as uncharacterized. NCBI's taxonomy places the organism in Eukaryota, Metazoa, Chordata, Actinopteri, Clupeiformes, Clupeidae. The transcript is spliced from 3 exons. The record is from RefSeq and is a predicted model, not a curated record.
GGAGUAGAGGCUCCUCAGUCUUCACUUGAGAUCAGCCAUCGAGCAGAGAGAGGAAGACAAGACACACGACCUGAUCAACCUACAGCACCAUGAAAACCACCUGCAUAUGCCUGGCUCUCGCACUGGUCAUGAUGAUGGCCGUCACCUCUGAGGCUUUCAUUUAUAGCCUCGAAACAACUCCAAAGGGCUGCUGUUUUCAAUUCCUUGAUGCACACAUAAAUAUCCCAAAGGCUGAAAUUAUUAAAGUUGACAAAACUGAUUCUAAGUGCCCCAAACCAGCAAUUAUUGUGACCGUUCCAGGCAGAGUGCUCUGCGUGAGCCCGACCUCCAGACUUGGCAAAAGACUUGCUGUCCAAGUGAAAAAGACUGACUGAUAUAAUAAGCUCUAUUUCUUAAGAGACAUUUAGACUGAAAUCAGAAGAGAGAACUUGUUUUUUUUUUAAUCUGUUCAUGUUUGUUUUAUUAUAUUGUCUGUGUUUUGAUUAUUUUCUAUGUUCUCUAUGAAUUUUGUACACAUAUAUUUUGUUAUCAAUAAAUUUGGUUCAUGCCAUCUGA